Non-coding RNA from Thalictrum thalictroides, 84 nucleotides. NCBI's taxonomy places the organism in Eukaryota, Viridiplantae, Streptophyta, Magnoliopsida, Ranunculales, Ranunculaceae. The record is from the annotation of a GenBank genome assembly.
GUGAGCCGCAUGCGGGGAGACCCGCAUGUACGGUUUUUAGGGGGAUCUGUUUUGUUGUUAUAUUUUGCUACAAUUCAUUCCAGU